AGUAUUUUAUGCAACAGUUGUAUAAGAAGGGUCAAAAAAUGCGAGUGGCGUGAGUUGCGUUGUGAGCCUUGGCGAACAUCGCAAUAAGAGACGCCACGAGCAUUUUUUGACCUAGUUAUACAACGUUGCAUACAAUACUUUUUCUACGACGACGUAAUUUUAAACGAAACACAAAAAUUUUCCAAUUUAUUUUCCAACGCGCGGGAAAAUGGCGGCAAAUGUAUACUUUUUUUUUAUAGUAUAUCUAUGGCACCAAACAAAGUAAAGGUGCCAGUUUCCAGGUCAAAAAAAAAAAAACAACAACAAUGCUUUUUUGGCGACAUUAUAGUACAGUUACACUUUGUAAACAAUGCUUUUAUAGGCCAUAGAGCGUACACUUUUUCAAAGAGUUUAAUUAUGUAUGUACUUAUAUUAGACUUUUUGGUUAUUUAAAUGCCAGAUUAAAGUAGAGGAGUAGAAAAUAGUAUUUUAUGCAACAGUUGUAUAAGAAGGGUCAAAAAAUGCGAGUGGCGUGAGUUGCGUUGUGAGCCUUGGCGAACAUCGCAAUAAGAGACGCCACGAGCAUUUUUUGACCUAGUUAUACAACGUUGCAUACAAUACUUUUUCUACGACGACGUAAUUUUAAACGAAACACAAAAAUUUUCCAAUUUAUUUUCCAACGCGCGGGAAAAUGGCGGCAAAUGUAUACUUUUUUUUUAUAGUAUAUCUAUGGCACCAAACAAAGUAAAGGUGCCAGUUUCCAGGUCAAAAAAAAAAACAACAACAAUGCUUUUUUGGCGACAUUAUAGUACAGUUACACUUUGUAA
Long non-coding RNA from Pectinophora gossypiella (pink bollworm), 806 nucleotides. RefSeq lists it as uncharacterized. Lineage: Eukaryota; Metazoa; Arthropoda; Insecta; Lepidoptera; Gelechiidae. The transcript has 2 exons. The record is from RefSeq and is a predicted model, not a curated record.